UGGGGAAUUUUGGACAAUGGGCGCAAGCCUGAUCCAGCCAUGCCGCGUGAGUGAAGAAGGCCUUCGGGUUGUAAAGCUCUUUCAGCCGGAAAGAAAACGCACAGGAUAAUACCUUGUGUGGAUGACGGUACCGGAAGAAGAAGCACCGGCCAACUACGUGCCAGCAGCCGCGGUAAUACGUAGGGUGCGAGCGUUAAUCGGAAUUACUGGGCGUAAAGCGUGCGCAGGCGGUUUUAUAAGCCAGAUGUGAAAUCCCCGGGCUUAACCUGGGAACUGCAUUUGUGACUGUAAGACUAGAGUGCGGCAGAGGGGGGUAGAAUUCCACGUGUAGCAGUGAAAUGCGUAGAUAUGUGGAGGAAUACCGAUGGCGAAGGCAGCCCCCUGGGUCGACACUGACGCUCAUGCACGAAAGCGUGGGGAGCAAACAGGAUUAGAUACCCUGGUAGUCCACGCCCUAAACGAUGUCAACUAGGUGUUGGGGGAGGAGACUUCCUUAGUACCGCAGCUAACGCGUGAAGUUGACCGCCUGGGGAGUACGGCCGCAAGGUUG
This 550-nucleotide ribosomal RNA is filed under the name uncultured prokaryote. RNAcentral's name for it is "bacterial SSU rRNA". It matches the Rfam family "Bacterial small subunit ribosomal RNA", at positions 355 to 896 of the family's 1533-position model. The record is from RNAcentral.